GGGGACCUUUGGGGUUACAGCAUUUGUCUUCCCAGCAAAUUCACCAACACUUGCUGAUGAUUGCAUGCACUUCAUCAUGUAUAUACUUUAAAUUCAUUGUGCAAAGGCUUGUCCUCUCAGCUGACCUCUUGCUGCGUUCACAGGAAGUAAGAUACAGCUGUCAUGAAACAUUGAAGCCAUGGAAGACUGAAGAAUAGGGGACAAGGUCGGAGAUGUCCAAGGAGCAGUAAGAGGAAAAGGGGUAUCCACUGAAGGUUUGAUCCUGCAAUACACUGAAUAUGCUGAACAUUUGAGGAAGGCAGAGGAAUUUGAGAGCGUGGAGGUAUCUCCUGGCUACAGACAUGAAGAAAUGUGUUGCACCAGCUAUGUCUUGUGCACCUUUGUGCAAAAUCUUUUCAGGACAGCAAGAGCAAGACAAAACAGUGGCACUUCAAAAAAAAAAGAAAAGAUAAAAAGAAGUCUAGUAAGAAACGCUUCCUGGAGAUCUGGAGGGAAAUCUUACCAUCAUCCCCAGUAUUCAAAGAUUGCUCUAUUC
Lepidothrix coronata (blue-crowned manakin) is the source of this 535-nucleotide long non-coding RNA. RefSeq lists it as uncharacterized. Lineage: Eukaryota; Metazoa; Chordata; Aves; Passeriformes; Pipridae. The transcript is spliced from 4 exons. The record is from RefSeq and is a predicted model, not a curated record.